AAGUCCCGCAACGAGCGCAACCCUUAAGCUUAGUUGCCAUCAUUAAGUUGGGCACUCUAAGUUGACUGCCGGUGACAAACCGGAGGAAGGUGGGGAUGACGUCAAAUCAUCAUGCCCCUUAUGAUUUGGGCUACACACGUGCUACAAUGGACAAUACAAAGGGUAGCGAAACCGCGAGGUCAAGCAAAUCCCAUAAAGUUGUUCUCAGUUCGGAUUGUAGUCUGCAACUCGACUAUAUGAAGCUGGAAUCGCUAGUAAUCGUAGAUCAGCAUGCUACGGUGAAUACGUUCCCGGGUCUUGUACACACCGCCCGUCACACCACGAGAGUUUGUAACACCCGAAGCCGGUGGAGUAACCAUUUGGAGCUAGCCGUCGAAGGUGGGACAAAUGAUUGGGGUGAAGUCGUAACAAGGUAGCCGUAUCGGAAGGUGCGGCUGGAUCACCUCCUUUCUAAGGA
Molecule: ribosomal RNA, 457 nt
Filed under: Listeria monocytogenes
Lineage: Bacteria; Bacillati; Bacillota; Bacilli; Caryophanales; Listeriaceae
Description: bacterial SSU rRNA
Rfam family: Bacterial small subunit ribosomal RNA
Source: RNAcentral